CCCUUAGAUGUUCUGGGCCGCACGCGCGCUACACUGAUGCAUUCAACGAGUUUCUUCCUGGUCCGAGAGGAAUGGGUAACCUUUUGAAAGUGCAUCGUGAUAGGGAUAGACUAUUGCAAUUAUUGGUCUUCAACGAGGAAUUCCUAGUAGACGUAGUUCAUCAGACUGCAUCGAUUACGUCCCUGCCCUUUGUACACACCGCCCGUCGCUACUACCGAUUGGAUGGCUUAGUGAGACCCUCGGACCGAUAGGCUGUCGCUGCAGCAAUGUGGCGACUGGCCCGUCUGGGAAGAAGGUCAAACUUGACUGUCUAGAGGAAGUAAAAGUCGUAACA
This 334-nucleotide ribosomal RNA is filed under the name uncultured eukaryote. Its description in RNAcentral is "partial 18S ribosomal RNA". It matches the Rfam family "Eukaryotic small subunit ribosomal RNA", at positions 1470 to 1796 of the family's 1831-position model. The record is from RNAcentral.